Molecule: long non-coding RNA, 1482 nt
Filed under: Carica papaya (papaya)
Lineage: Eukaryota; Viridiplantae; Streptophyta; Magnoliopsida; Brassicales; Caricaceae
Description: long non-coding RNA (CPAP_LNC004265)
Source: RNAcentral
AAAUAUUUUUAUUUCGAAUAUUAUCAUUUUAAAUACUCUAUUUACAGUAUGUUUCUCAACCAUGACAAGCAAAAUCUCCUUUUAAGUUCAGAAAAUAUAAUCUUGAAAAAGUAUAAGAGAGAAUAUGAUCUUUCCUUUUUUGGUAUGGUCUAGAUUUUCGUUUAUAGUUCCACCAUUUAAUUCUUUCUUACGACGUCGUAAAUAUGUUUUUGCGAGGAAGUUGAUUUGAAGUAGAUCGAGUUUCGCACUUGAGAAAAAUAAUUUUGUUCUUUCCCAAUUUGUGUAUUUUUCCAUAAUGAAAAUAUCUCAAUGUAAGAUUUGGUCAAGCUUUUGAGAAAACGUUUAUGAAGAGGACUUUGCGAAGAAUUCGUUUGAGUUCUUUGUCUUUAUUUUAAAGUAUUUUUUAAUCUAUAUCUCCUAAUAUGUUACGUAAAUAAAUUUUACUUAUGAAUAAAUAUCACGAUUACACACUUGCAUAGUGACUAACUAGUUCAAAUAUACAUAUCGGUAAUAAUUUUAAUUAAUUAGUCUACACUACCAGAUGUGUGUCUAACACAUUCCCGUUAUAAUACUCUCAUUUUGUUCAGAUUAAUUUUGUUAUUAUUAUUAUUAUUAUCCUUUGUUUAACUCAAAUAUAUUUCAAAAUCUUUUUGUUGUUAAUUUAAAUUCAAAAUUUUAAUUUUAGGACACCGAAAAGGGAAAAAAAUCUUUUUCUUAUUAAAUCCAACUCAAUUUUUUUUUUUUUUAAAAAAAAAGAAGAAUCAGAAGCCUCCUUUAAUUUCACCCCAAACAAACCAAACCCAGCUCACCAGAAAUACCAAAAAACGGCGCCGUUUGAUAUGUUCUUCAUUGUCCAAAUAAAUGGCGAAUAAAGGAGAGAAGCUCAUAUAGGACCAUGGUAGAGAGGCAUGCAUCGGGAAGAGGGAAGCUCACAAGGAAGGCGACAGGGCGACAGAGGCAGAAAGGGUAUCAGCCAGAGAGACGAUGAGACAGAGCUAGGCACAGAGAGAGAGAGAGAAGCUCAUAUAGGACCAUGGUAGAGAGGCAUGCAUCAGGAAGAGGGAAGCUCACAAGGAAGGCGACAGGGCGACAGAGGCAGAAAGGGUAUCAGCCAGAGAGACGAUGAGACAGAGCUAGGCACAGAGAGAGAGAGAGAGAGAGACAGAGAGAGAGACGAUGAAUAAAACUUUAUAUUAUCAUGGUGGUAAUAAGUGCCUCACAUUUUUUCACCUUGACCACCUUGAAUCGUACCUACUUUAGAUAUCUAAUUCCACCUCAAAUAAAUUAGUAGAAACUCUCUUAAAAUUUCAUGAUAAUAAUUAGGUUUUCUAGGAGGCUUUGCUAUCUAAUUACCCGAAGUUGUGAGACACCCUUUUCGUACCAUUUUGGUCCCGAUUUUAACAUAUUUUUUAUUCAUACUUUUCAAUUAUAAUUUAUGCAAGUUUGCUAUAUAUAUAUAUAUAUAUAGUUUAAUGAACACGA